UGGGAUCCUCUGGGAGCUCAGCUUCUUAGGCUAGAAGUGCCAGGGAAUUACUUCACCAAAUUCCCCCUUCUACUGGGGCUGCUGAUGGUAUCAGAAGUGGGACCUGCAGUGGGGCAUCUAGCAACCCCCAGGAGCAUUGAGUGACCAGGCUUGGGACCCACCGGGCGCAGGGUGUCCAUUGUUCUCUCGAAGCAACUGAGAAUUGUGGAUAUUCUUCAUUAUUCCAUCAUCAUCUCAAACCUCUUGGGUAUAGUGUUUGACUACUACUGUGACCAUAAAUUCCAAUAAAACCUAGGAAAAAUGAAACCACUACAUUAACUGAAAGGGAAGGAUUUGACAGCUUCUUUUGGGCAUAUCAGAAUCGCCAGCAUCACUACUCUUGCACUGUGCGGCCAUUAUUAAGUGAAAUAAGGAUUACUUGAACACAAGCACUGCAAUGCCGCUACAGUCAAUGUGAUAACCCAGCUGGUGACUAAGUGACCAAGGACGGGGAGUAUCUACAGCGGGGAGACUCUGGAAAAAGGGAGGAUUCACAUCCAGUGCCACUGGGGCAGGGCAGAAUGAGAGUUCAUCAUGCUACAAAGAAUGGCACAGAAUAUACGACUUGUGAGUGGAUUAUCUCUGGAAUUUUCUGUUGACUACAUUUGUACUACAGUUGUAUGUGGGUAACAAACUGUGGAAAGUGAAACUUCGGGUAAGGGGGAGGCUACCGUAGAUAGCCCAGUAUUUCUUAUUUUGUGGAUUUGUUUAUCUUUCUGCUCACAUCCUUUUCCUUCUGCAUUACCAUUUUAGUAAAAAUAGAUAGCAUCCA
Molecule: long non-coding RNA, 811 nt
Filed under: Homo sapiens (human)
Lineage: Eukaryota; Metazoa; Chordata; Mammalia; Primates; Hominidae
Description: HSALNT0347285
Source: RNAcentral